CAGCAGCCGCGGUAAUGCGAGGGGAGCUAGCGUUAUUCGGAAUUACUGGGCGUAAAGCGCACGUAGGCGGCUUUGUAAGUUAGAGGUGAAAGCCCAGAGCUCAACUCUGGAAUUGCCUUUAAGACUGCAUCGCUUGAAUCCAGGAGAGGUGAGUGGAAUUCCGAGUGUAGAGGUGAAAUUCGUAGAUAUUCGGAAGAACACCAGUGGCGAAGGCGGCUCACUGGACUGGUAUUGACGCUGAGGUGCGAAAGCGUGGGGAGCAAACAGGAUUAGAUACCCCUGUAGUCCCUGUCUCUUAUAC
This 301-nucleotide ribosomal RNA is filed under the name uncultured bacterium. RNAcentral's name for it is "partial 16S ribosomal RNA". It matches the Rfam family "Bacterial small subunit ribosomal RNA", at positions 509 to 807 of the family's 1533-position model. The record is from RNAcentral.